Molecule: ribosomal RNA, 847 nt
Filed under: Parvasolenaia rivularis
Lineage: Eukaryota; Metazoa; Mollusca; Bivalvia; Unionida; Unionidae
Description: Solenaia rivularis 12S ribosomal RNA
Source: RNAcentral
ACAAAUAUUUCAUUGACGUACCAAGUUAACUUCACUAAUUAAACUACAUAUGGUAGCCCACACACAUUGUGCCUUACGGUUAGUCCGCUUGGGGAUUUUUAAUAGACCCCCAAACAACUUAAUCGAGGACUUCACCCGUUAAAGUCCAAGGUUUAUAUCCCACAACACCAAUGUCCUAUAUUAGGUUAGCUAGGAGACUAGGCCCUAGAAAACAAGUAUUUAGGGGUGGCAAAAAUGGUGCCAGCAGUCGCGGUUAUACCAUUACCUCAAGCUAACUAACACAAAGUGGGACCAACCACAAGACUAAAAGAUUAACUUCCUACGUAAAAAAUAAAUUACAACCAAACCCAACCAAGUCAUCCACUAAAAGUCCCAACAAACCACAACCUCAAAACCCGGAUUAGAUACCCGACUAUUGUGUGGCCCAACAAAAAGAAUACUACAAGCGAAAGCUCAAACCUCAAACAAUGUGGCGGUGCUUAACUCCUCAUCAGGGGAUCCUGUGGCUUAAACCGAUAAUCCACGAAUACCUUAGCUCUUCUAGCUCUCAGCUUAUGUAUGGCCGUUUACGCUUGCUCAAAAAAGAUCACAAAAGGAAGCAAUGGGGCCAUUCCCCGCCAAUUCAGGUGACAUAUAGCCAACGAAAAGCUGACUCAUGGGAUACAAAUAAACCAACUACCAGACUUAAAAGUUAAACCUUUUAAUAAAGGAGGACUUGAAAGUAAGGCUCACACCAAAUAAAGCCAGCCUGAACAAGAACUUAAGCGCGCACAAAUCGCCCGUCACUCCGGCAGUAAAGUCGGAUAAGUCGUAACAUAGUAGGGGUAAUGGAAAUUGCCCCUAUCAC